AACUUUUAGCAACGGAUCUCUUGGCUCUCGCAUCGAUGAAGAACGCAGCGAAAUGCGAUAAGUAAUGUGAAUUGCAGAAUUCAGUGAAUCACCGAAUCUUUGAACGCACCUUGCGCCCUCUGGCUAUUCUGAAGGGCAUGCCUGUUUGAGCAUCAUAAACAUCUCAACUCUCACGGUUUCCUGUGAUGAGCUUGGACUUUGGGGGUCUCGUUGGCUUGUGUUCCGCUCCCCUCAAAUCUACAAGCUUGCCCGUGUUUGGCAGCAUCACGGGUGUGAGAAAUAAAGACGCUUGUGGUUCUGUGGCAGGGCUGGCGUCUCGUGGCAGAAGGCGCACUGGAGCUCAUAGAUGUCUCGGCUUGGUGGAGCUAGCUGUAUGAAGCUUAGUCUCAAAUCAGGGAGGAAAACCCGUUGAACUUCAUCAUAUCAAUAAGCUGAGUUU
Molecule: unclassified non-coding RNA, 439 nt
Filed under: uncultured Thelephoraceae
Lineage: Eukaryota; Fungi; Basidiomycota; Agaricomycetes; Thelephorales; Thelephoraceae
Description: sequence contains ITS2
Rfam family: 5.8S ribosomal RNA (bases 1-155)
Source: RNAcentral